Molecule: ribosomal RNA, 440 nt
Filed under: uncultured bacterium
Lineage: Bacteria
Description: bacterial SSU rRNA
Rfam family: Bacterial small subunit ribosomal RNA
Source: RNAcentral
UACGGAAGGCAGCAGUGGGGAAUAUUGCACAAUGGGCGCAAGCCUGAUGCAGCCAUGCCGCGUGUAUGAAGAAGGCCUUCGGGUUGUAAAGUACUUUCAGUCGUGAGGAAGGUGUUAAGGUUAAUAACCUUAGCAAUUGACGUUAGCGACAGAAGAAGCACCGGCUAACUCCGUGCCAGCAGCCGCGGUAAUACGGAGGGUGCGAGCGUUAAUCGGAAUUACUGGGCGUAAAGGGCACGCAGGCGGUUAAUUAAGUUGGAUGUGAAAUCCCCGGGCUUAACCUGGGAAUGGCAUUCAAGCUGGUUAGCUAGAGUCUUGUAGAGGGGGUAGAAUUCCAUGUGUAGCGGUGAAAUGCGUAGAGAUGUGGAGGAAUACCGGUGGCGAAGGCGGCCCCUGGGACAAAGGCUGACGCUCAUGUGCGAAAGCGUGGGGAGCAAACG